Molecule: non-coding RNA, 5735 nt
Organism: Paramormyrops kingsleyae
Lineage: Eukaryota; Metazoa; Chordata; Actinopteri; Osteoglossiformes; Mormyridae
Source: RefSeq, a predicted model, not a curated record
GUGGUUCCGCCGAUUAGGAAUUGCAACAAUACCGAAAAGUAGCUUUUAGAAAUGCAAUGCUGUAUGACUUAUGUACAGAUACGGUUUCAUAUACGUUCAUCAUUCAUUAGGGAAAUAGUUAUUUAUUUAUUAGCUAUUUAUAUAUUGCAAGACCGAAUAUGUUGAUCAGAUCAUUAUAGGCCUAAGUAUUGGAAAGUUAUUGUUGCUUACAGACAGUAACAACUUCUUCCUUUUAUUUUUUUGUUUGUCUAGGUUAUUCUUAGGUACCUCGCUUGUAUGUCGUUUAAAACAAAAACGAUUGCCAAACAAAUAAAUGUAAUCUAGACCUAAAUAUCGAUUAAUGAUACCAGCUAACAAGCGACGUCUUUUGGACGUCCGAUUUUGGUCGGCCAGGUAACGCGUUACAUUCACAACGUUAGGCAGACGUCCGAUUUUAGUUCGUCAGGUAACGUUUCAUUCACAAUGUUAGGCGGACGUCCGAUUUUGGUCCGCCAGGGAACGUUUCGUUCACAACGUUAGGCGGACGUCCGAUUUUAGUCCGCCCGUAAACGUUUCAUUCACAAUGUUAGACGGACGUCCGAUUUUGGUCCGCCCAGUAACGUUUCAUUCACAACGUUAGGCGGACGUCCGAUUUUAGUCCGCCAGGUAACGUUUUAUUCACAAUGUUAGGCGACGUCCUAUUUUAGUCCGCCAGGUGACGUUUUAUUCACAACGUUAGGCGGACGUCCGAUUUUAGUCUUUGAAUCCUUGAAAUAAAUGUAUUUGAUCAUUUUUCUUUUUACAUAGAGCCACUAUACACAAUAGUUUAUUUUUUUCACUGCUAACAGUUUGGAUCAGGAGUUGGUUAUUGUAAAAGAAGUAAUGUACGUGCAUGUGGUGAUAUUUGUAUAGGCCAAGCUUUAUCUGCACCCUUCUGGCAGUGUGGCCAAUGCAGUCGGGUCUCGCACACUACGACAAGAAGUUUGUCCGACUUGACUGCAGUCCGUUUAUAUUCCACCCAUGCAGCCGCAGGCAGAUCGCGCUCCAAGUCAGAUCAGCUGCAGACAGCCCAAGUCGAACGCACCCAAUUUCACACACCACACCUGAUAAUUCACACGCCGAGAAGCGAUAAAGCUCGCGAGACGAGGCGCAGGCCAAUAGCUCUGCUUAGCGCAUACAACUGUCAUGACCUAGCAACCUAUCAGCUAAUCAGAAAAUAGUGUUGCCAGGUCAAGUAUGAUAAUUAUUUUCAGUUGUAAGCGCGCGCUGUUCUUAUACGCUCUGAAUGCGUCCAUAAUUCACAGACAAGUUGUAGAAGGACAUGCACCAGGAAAUCGUUUGUUAUAAAUUUUCCAUUAGGUUACAUUUCAUUAUGAGCUAAAGUGCUUAAAUGCAAGCCGCUAUCUCUGUCGGGUGUGGCAUGUGAAAUUAUUUAAAUGCUUGUUCCCAUGUAUCGUCACUCAAAACCUCUUUAAAAUGAAUAAGUUGAAGACGUUUAGGCAGUAUUAUGCGAUAGGAUCAAAAUUAGACGCCUGAAGAACGUAUUUGUAAAAUAUGACCUGUCUGUAACAUUCACAACAUCCCCAAACCCUCUGCCUAAAGUUCUGCAUGAAACGUUACGUGGCGGAGGAAAAUCGAACGCCCGCCAUACAUUGUGAAUAAAACGUUACCUGGCGGACCAAAAUCGGAAGCCCGCCGAAUGAAACGUUACUUGCAGCUCUGGCGGACCAGAAUCGGACAGAUUCUGUCAAAUCAAAUGUAUAGUUUUACUAAAAUGUAUAUAUAUAUAUAUAUACAUUAAAAUACAAAAAAAAAGACAUUUGGCCACAAAUGAGCCUCUUAAACAGUGGUCCCUCUCUCUUAAAUACGAUCGAGCCUACAGUAUAUCUCUGUCGACGCGGCAUUAACAUCUGCUACAAACGCUCAUAUCUUGAGAGAGAGAGACCACUGCUGUUUAAGUGGCUCUGGCGCAAAAUGUCACUAAACCGACAGAACAUAUGAAACGAAAUUAAUUAAACGAUUACAAAAUGGCAUUAACAUUGUUAACGUAGUAAGUCACAGAAAUGUGAGACCUAUACUGUGCGGUGCGUGUAAACACGUUCUUGCACUCGUUCGCGAGUUCUGUCCAUUUUUUCGUCCGUUAGCCCAUAGACUAACAUGGGCAGCCGCCUCACUUCAUAAAGCCAUCAAAUUUGACGUGAUUCGAGGGCGCAUAUCUGUAACCGCCAUAACCCUCAUUCGUCUUUCCAUCCAUUCUUUUUCUGUGGCUUAUUUUCCCCUUAUGAGCCUAUUCGUUUUCCCCAUUUAGAGGCCACCUCCUGAACACACAUCUGUCUCUUUCGACCCGCACUCUUUUACUUGCUUUUAUCACCCCUCGUUUAUUCCCCAUUCACGUCAAUACAAUUUAAUAUGACUUUCUACUGGGCCAGUUUUCACUACAACACUUGAGGAAUCACAGCAUUUUCUUGCAGAAAUGCAUCUCUAGUUUAUAUGUAUGUACUGUAUGUAUGUAUAAACAAAGGGCACAAAUUAAGUUUGAUUUGAUUUUGCUUCACCAAAUCUGUCCCAUCUCAUGUAAAAGUAUACUAGGCAUGCUGGAAGUGGUUCAAUAGAACUGCAAUAGAUAACCUCUUGUUUAAGGAUUGCAAUGUGGGGCCAUUUUUAUGUAUGUAUUUUGUCUCUUUUAUGUUAAGUAAAGUUCUCUACAUAUUGACACAUUUUCAGGAGAAUAUGAAUACUGAGAAGAGACAAAUAUUCAGGUCUGUUUCCUUCAAAACCAUACACAAGAAACGACAGUAUAAUCGGAUUUGGGCAAGAGUGUCUCAAUCACAUAAAAAAACACUUCAGAUGGAAGAGAUGACUUUGUUGACUAUGGAAGCAACCAUGAUGUUGAUGGUGAACUAGGUCAAGGACAGCUGAAUUUGUUUCAGGACCCAAACUGCUUCUUGUUGUGAUUUUUCUUCUCAAGAUCAAGUUCAUAAUGCUGCAGAAGUGAGCGAUUCAGAAUCAGAAAGUGAAGGACGUUAUUCAGGCAGUAGUUCUCUGAGGGAAGAAUUAGCCAGAUGGGUGGCUAUGUUUAAUGUCAAGCACAAUGCAGUUGACUCUCUUCUGAAAGUACUGGUAAAACAUGGACAUUCUGAUCUGCCUACCACUGCAAGAACAUUAAUGGGAAACACAGGCAAUUCAAAUACAAAAUGUGUCAGGGGUAGAAUAUGUUAAGUUUGAUGUCAGACAAAGAAUCCUAGAUCAUUUGCAGUCCUACCCUUCAGCCAUGCUAAAGUCCUUGAAUACUUUGGAAAUUUCUUUAAAUUUGGAUGGGCUACCACUGUUUAAAAGCAACAACCGAGCACUCUGGCCAGUUUUGUGCUCUAUUGAUCUUGACUUAGUGUCUGUCUUUCCAUUAUCGCUUGCAGUGGCUUCAUCAAAACCUACAUCUAUGGACUUCAUUAGUGAUACGGUUUGUGAUCUGGCUAACUUACUAGAAACUGGAAUCGAGUUGGAAGGGAGAAAUCUAGCAGUACACAUUAGGUGCAUUAUUUGUGAUGCCCUAGCAAAGGCCAUGAUGAAAUGUGUAAAGCAGUACUCUGGUUAUUAUGGCUGUGAUAGAUGUAUACAAAGGGGAAGAUGGCUUGGUAGAAUGACUUAUGAGGAGGAGACAAAUCUGACGCUGCGGACUGAUCUGACUUUCAGAGAACAAACGUAUGCAGAACAUCAUCAAAAGGAAAAGAUUUCCCCUUUCUGUAAUCUUCCAAUUGACAUCAGGUGUUUUCCCGUUUACUACAUUCAUCAGUGUUGUCUAGGAGUUAUGAGAAAAUUGCUGGUCUUGUGGACAAGAGGCCAUUCCACAGUAAGACUAUCUCCUGUGCAGAUAAAAGAAGUUAGUCAUAGAUUAAAUCAGCUAAGGAGUGCUAUGCCAAGAUGUUUUGCAAGGAAGCCACGUGGUUUGGAAGAACUUGAAAGAUGGAAAGCAACAGAAUUUCGCCAGUUCGCUUUGUACACAGGAAAGGUGGUUCUUAAAGGAAUUCUUCCAGACCAGUUCUUUGAGCAUUUCAUGACCUUUAGCGAAGCUCUAUGCAUGCUUGUCUCCCCAAAACUCGCUCAGCGCUACAGUUAGUAUGUGCAAGAAUUACUUGUGUUUUUUGUGGAACAAGGGCGAUUUUUAUAUGGGGAAGGCUUCUUGGUGUACAAUGUCCACUCUUUGAUUCACAUCACAGAAGAUGCAAAAGAAUUUGGAUGUUUGGAUAGUUGCAGUGCCUUUCGUUUUGAAAACUAUCUACAGGAGCUUAAAAAACUAAUUCGCUCUGAAAGACGUCCUCUUACUCAAGUCGUGAAAAGAAUCGAGGAGAGCAGAGUUUUAAUUCAAACCAAAAGCAGACAAACUAAGGAAGAUGCAGUUGGUCUAAAGUAUCCCAACAACACAUUCAUGCUAAAAGAAACAUCUUGUUGUGAAGUGGUUUCAGUUGUUUCUGAGAGGAAGAAAUGGAAGAAUGUAGAAUCUAUGAACAGGUCGAGCCGUUAUUUCUCAGCCCUUGUGACUCUUGUUUGAUUGGAGCGUACAGAGUGCAUGUGAGAAACGCACAAAUGAAAACUGUAUCUGAAGACUGCUUGGAACAGAGGACAAUCAUUAUUGAAGAGAAUCACGGAACUAGAGUUGUGCUUGCCAUUCUACAUUAUCUCUGACUCUUGGUAAAUGUGCUUUAAUUGCUUUUGACAAACAGUUCUAUCACUGAAAAGUUGUUAGAUGCAUUUUAUUUUUAAAUUUUAGGUUGAUCAACGUUUUGCAGUUGUUCACUUUCUGAGGGAAAAUUCGGUUGAUGUAAUACCAUCGUCUUGGCUGGAAAAAGUAAAUGGGGUAAAACAUGAAAAAGGACAGAUACAAGGAAAAGGAAAGUAAAAUGUAAACUAUGAAGAAGAACUUUUCAUAUUAAUGUCAACAUCUUUUUUUCUAUAUUUUGUUCAUUUUUGUGUUCUUUUGCGUCUGACAUUGACAGGAGCUAUAUUGCUAUUAGCCGCAAAACAACGCUGCCAAAAUGGUGAAAAGAGGGGAUAUGGCAGACAAACAACUAUGGCUUAAAUACCAAAUCAGAGUCUUCACGUUUGCAGACAACUAUCAAUUGUCAAGGGACAGGGCACAAAAAGGACUUGAAACAUCUAAUAUUGAGUCCAAUAGGGGCAGUGUGAGGAAGAUGAAGAGUUCCUGUUGCGAAGGAAAAAUAAAGCUAGGUGUACUAUGAGUUCUUCUUUGGACAGGGGAAGUUCACAAGAAAAAGAGCAUGGAGCUGCACUGCCUGCUCCCCCCCGAAUUUUGUUCAUCACCAGUUGUCAUACCUACUAUCUCUUCAAUGCAUGAUGCCAACUUACAAGGGGUAAUGAUUGGGAAAUACCACCUUCAUCACAGAACGGCGUUCUAGUGCUAUCAAGAGCUUUAUUGAGGCUUCUGAAAAGAGAAUUAUGAUGAAGUUAGAGAGGAUGCAGUAUGACUUUCAGAAUGCAAUCCAAGGAUUACAACAAAUAUCUGCACCCUCCCCAUCACAUGAACAAGUGAUAUGGGAGAAACCAUGUGAGACUCAACAGGAUAUAGUUAAAAAACCUGGCAUACAGAAGAAAAAUGGAUGAUGCUGCAGUGAGAGAUACAAGGGAAAUGGAGCAGGGACCUGAAGCGGAUGAAUUUGCUUGUUAAUGUUGACUUUAACAUUUAAUAACAACAUUCUAAUGUUAUGAAAGUUUUUGAUGUUAAUAAAGUGAGAUGACUGAAA